This 253-nucleotide ribosomal RNA is filed under the name uncultured bacterium. RNAcentral's name for it is "partial 16S ribosomal RNA". It matches the Rfam family "Bacterial small subunit ribosomal RNA", at positions 524 to 776 of the family's 1533-position model. The record is from RNAcentral.
UACGUAGGGUCCAAGCGUUGUUCGGAUUUACUGGGCGUAAAGGGCGCGUAGGCGGCUUGACAAGUCAGUUGUGAAAUCUCCGGGCUUAACUCGGAACGGCCAAGUGAAACUGUCAUGCUAGAGUGCAGAAGGGGCAAUCGGAAUUCUUGGUGUAGCGGUGAAAUGCGUAGAUAUCAAGAGGAACACCUGAGGUGAAGACGGGUUGCUGGGCUGACACGGACGCUGAGGCGCGAAAGCCAGGGGAGCAAACGGG